This is a long non-coding RNA of Chelonoidis abingdonii (Abingdon island giant tortoise), 261 nucleotides long. RefSeq lists it as uncharacterized. The record is from RefSeq and is a predicted model, not a curated record. NCBI's taxonomy places the organism in Eukaryota, Metazoa, Chordata, Testudines, Testudinidae.
CACAGAAGACUUGCAGGAUUUUGCCCUACAUGCCCCAGGACAUCUAGCAGAUUAGAUUGUACAGAGAAUUAACACCCUUUCAUGAAAAUGCCAUGUCAUCUCACUUAAAUGUCUUAUCUGAAGUAAACAGCAAUUGGAGCAGUAUGAGGCCUCCCAGGAGGCUAACAGAGCACGACCAACUACCAGAUUUGAAAUGAAAGUCUAGCCUUGGCCUCCUUGAGCAAAGAGACUAUUUGGUUUGGCCAAUGUACCACCACAGGA